AGCCUCAUUCUAGAUGAGAAUGGGCACUAUUGAUUGGCUAAAAUUGAGACACAGGUCAUGCUUCCAUCACAGUAAACAUAUUACAGUGGUGACAAUGAGACCUGUAACACUG
Heterocephalus glaber (naked mole-rat) is the source of this 112-nucleotide small nucleolar RNA. Lineage: Eukaryota; Metazoa; Chordata; Mammalia; Rodentia; Bathyergidae. The record is from Ensembl.